CAGCCUGAUCUACAGAGUGAGUUUCUGCACAGCCAGAGCUACACAGAGAAACCAUGUCUCAAACAACCAAAAUAAUAAAUAAAUAAAUAAAUAAAAUAACUGAGUUUAGUCAGUUAAUGCUGAUGAUGGGUCAGAAGCAGGAGGAAGGGAACUAGAAAGGAACUGGAGAUGGAAGGCAUUUCCUGUUUCCUCAGAUCUUAAGGAAGGUCUUUGUUUUUCUAUGCUUCAGUGGGAAGGAGUGGCUUGACUCUGAGAGGAAGGGUCUGUCCCUUUGGACCAACCUAACAUACAGGCAAAGUUCUGGUUAGCAUAUGUCAUUGUUUCAGGUACCAUUCAAGCAUCCAGAAAAUGCUGGAAGGACUUGGGAUCACAAGGGUCAGACCUACUCCUGCUUACUGGUAACUCUGCCAUCUCUUCUAUAUUCAGAUCUGGUGUCCACAAGCUUCCUCGCUCAUUCCCUAGGUCUGAGGAAUGCUAUGGCCUUCCAAGAAGUCCCCGAGUAAUUCACAACAUCUCUCUGAAGAUGCUUCUCUCACCAAUGCAGUGGGAGCCUUAUACUGUGGCUCCCUCCAAGGGCACUGGGUGAGUCUAAAGGUCUUAGCUGAAAUCCAGAUAACACACUCUGGGUCCAGAAGUAUACCUUACCUUCCCAGGUGUAUAAAAGAUGUCCCUGGCCAUCUCAGUGGGAUCAUUUCUAUAGGGAACUGAUGAAAUGUCACAUCUCUGUGGCUGUACACAUGCCUGGGCAAGACAAUCAUAUCAUUUAAUUGACCACCCAAUCCCUGUCUACCAGCCCAGUUGCCUUGAGAUUCCAAGGCAAUUUGUACACAACUCCAUGUGUAUCCUUGCCUAUGAGUCUCUGGUUCACUCAACAGUAUGUAUGGAGUGAGCCAGCAAGAUGGCUCAGUGAGUAAAAGCACUUGCCACUACGCCUGGAGAUCAGAGUUCUAUCCCUGGGACACACGUGGUGGAAGAACAGAACCAACUUCUGCAAGCUGGCCUGUAAUCUUCACACGUGUGCAAUGGCACCACCACCCCUUGCAAUGAGUAAAUGUCAGGAAACAAAAACAAUAAAAUGUAUGGAGUUUUCAACAGGAUGCUGGCUUGGGAAUGACCCGAACUCCAACCACCAAAGAUGUGCAACUCUCCUGUGGAAAGUUGAGGUAGAGAAGACUGAGUCUAGGAACUCAGCAACUGGGACCCUACACAGAAGGGCCCACAGGAGAAACCCCCAAGCUGCUUUGGGGGAGGGGAAAGGAAUACUGACUGGCCUGACUCCACCUGUUAACCUCUCAUGAAAGCUCAAUUCCUGACCUGGUAGGGUCCUGAGGCAAAGCCUGCUGGGUAAGUCUGUUUCUCCAUUUCUGAGUGAAGAAGCUAUGGCCCAGGGAGAGGUGACUUGUUCCAGAUGACAGCAUCGGUGACAGAGAAAGUCCCAGACUCAGCCAGAAGCCCAGCCAAGGAAAACAUGAAGUGGGCAGCCAGCUUGAGCCUGGGAGACACCCUGCAGCUCUGGAGUGUGUCUGAAACCUCAAGGACCUUGAAACCUUGCCUGCUCUGAUGAAUCACCUACUCACAAUCCUCUAGACAAUCCCCUUUCUGCAGGAUGAGAAAAUAAGAUUUGAUUACCCACUGUGGUGGCUUGAAUGCAAUUGAAUCCCCAUAAUCCCCAAAGGAGUGGCACUAUUAGGAGGUGUGGCUUUGUUGGAAUGGAGCCAGCACCAUGUCUGCCUGCACGCUGCCAUAAUCCCUGCAAUGAUGAUAACGGAC
Molecule: non-coding RNA, 1770 nt
Organism: Cricetulus griseus (Chinese hamster)
Lineage: Eukaryota; Metazoa; Chordata; Mammalia; Rodentia; Cricetidae
Source: RefSeq, a predicted model, not a curated record